GACGGUAUGGCCUAAUGGAUAAGGCGCCAGACUUCGGAUCUGGAGAUUGAGGGUUCGAGUCCCUUUACCGUCG
Umbelopsis sp. AD052 is the source of this 73-nucleotide non-coding RNA. The record is from the annotation of a GenBank genome assembly. NCBI's taxonomy places the organism in Eukaryota, Fungi, Mucoromycota, Umbelopsidomycetes, Umbelopsidales, Umbelopsidaceae.